CGAAUUCGCCCUUAGAGUUUGAUCCUGGCUCAGGACGAACGCUGGCGGCGUGCCUAAUACAUGCAAGUAGAACGCUGAAGGAGGAGCUUGCUUCUCUGGAUGAGUUGCGAACGGGUGAGUAACGCGUAGGUAACCUGCCUGGUAGCGGGGGAUAACUAUUGGAAACGAUAGCUAAUACCGCAUGGCAACAGUUAUUGCAUGAUAACUGUUUAAAAGGGGCAAUUGCUCCACUACCAGAUGGACCUGCGUUGUAUUAGCUAGUUGGUGAGGUAACGGCUCACCAAGGCGACGAUACAUAGCCGACCUGAGAGGGUGAUCGGCCACACUGGGACUGAGACACGGCCCAGACUCCUACGGGAGGCAGCAGAAGGG
RNAcentral lists this ribosomal RNA (372 nucleotides) under uncultured Streptococcus sp. RNAcentral's name for it is "bacterial SSU rRNA". It matches the Rfam family "Bacterial small subunit ribosomal RNA", at positions 1 to 359 of the family's 1533-position model. The record is from RNAcentral. Lineage: Bacteria; Bacillati; Bacillota; Bacilli; Lactobacillales; Streptococcaceae.